AUGAACGCUGGCGGCGUGCCUCAUACAUGCAAGUCGAGCGAACAGACGAGGAGCUUGCUCCUCUGACGUUAGCGGCGGACGGGUGAGUAACACGUGGAUAACCUACCUAUAAGACUGGGAUAACUUCGGGAAACCGGAGCUAAUACCGGAUAAUAUAUUGAACCGCAUGGUUCAAUAGUGAAAGACGGUUUUGCUGUCACUUAUAGAUGGAUCCGCGCCGCAUUAGCUAGUUGGUAAGGUAACGGCUUACCAAGGCAACGAUGCGUAGCCGACCUGAGAGGGUGAUCGGCCACACUGGAACUGAGACACGGUCCAGACUCCUACGGGAGGCAGCAGUAGGGAAUCUUCCGCAAUGGGCGAAAGCCUGACGGAGCAACGCCGCGUGAGUGAUGAAGGUCUUCGGAUCGUAAAACUCUGUUAUUAGGGAAGAACAAAUGUGUAAGUAACUAUGCACGUCUUGACGGUACCUAAUCAGAGAGCCACGGCUAACUACGUG
RNAcentral lists this ribosomal RNA (496 nucleotides) under uncultured bacterium. Its description in RNAcentral is "partial 16S ribosomal RNA". It matches the Rfam family "Bacterial small subunit ribosomal RNA", at positions 29 to 507 of the family's 1533-position model. The record is from RNAcentral.